UUUUUUGAACGUUUAUAAUAUUUGUUAAACAGAGGGCAGAAGUCGCGAGGGGACACGGAGGAGACGGUGGGGAUAGACCUCCACACGGGAAUGCACGCGGUGUACCAUCGGAUUGCCAAUCUUGUAAGUUAUAUGAAAUUUUUAAUUAUUAGAUAUAUUAAUGUUUUAAAUUUCUAAAUUUCCAAUUGUAUAUGUAAAUAUAGCGCAAGCGAAGAAUGUGAAUGUGCGUGGCAAAGGGAGAAACUUAAAUUUGUACGAUGAGUAUGAAAAAAACAAGUGUAAGCCUUUGGAAUUGCUAAUUGAUAUCUCCGGGCGGACGUAUCGAGUUAUAGGGGACAACGGGCAACUGUUUGUCAGACUGAUCUCAAAUCUGGUGGGAUCAAAGGUACCGUUGCAUUAUCAUACUUGGCGUCGUGUUCCUGCCAAGUACAAAGUUGAUUUAUAUCCCGAGCUAGAGGUAAAUAUA
This 466-nucleotide long non-coding RNA is filed under the name Lactuca sativa (garden lettuce). Its description in RNAcentral is "long non-coding RNA (LSAT_LNC006208)". Lineage: Eukaryota; Viridiplantae; Streptophyta; Magnoliopsida; Asterales; Asteraceae. The record is from RNAcentral.